RNAcentral lists this ribosomal RNA (440 nucleotides) under uncultured bacterium. Its description in RNAcentral is "partial 16S ribosomal RNA". It matches the Rfam family "Bacterial small subunit ribosomal RNA", at positions 338 to 795 of the family's 1533-position model. The record is from RNAcentral.
CCUACGGGGGGCAGCAGUAGGGAAUAUUGCUCAAUGGGGGAAACCCUGAAGCAGCAACGCCGCGUGGAGGAUGAAGGUUUUAGGAUUGUAAACUCCUUUUGUUAGAGAAGAUUAUGACGGUAUCUAACGAAUAAGCACCGGCUAACUCCGGGCCAGCAGCCGCGGUAAUACGGAGGGGGCAAGCGUUACUCGGAAUCACUGGGCGUAAAGGGUGCGUAGGCGGGGUAAUAAGUCAGCUGUGAAGUCUUGUAGCUUAACUACAGAACUGCAUUUGAAACUGGUACUCUGGAGUGUGGGAGAGGUAGGUGGAAUUCUUGGUGUAGGGGUAAAAUCCGUAGAGAUCAAGAGGAAUACUCAUUGCGAAGGCGACCUGCUGGAACAUUACUGACGCUGAUGCACGAAAGCGUGGGGAGCAAACAGGAUUAGAUACCCGGGUAGUC